Long non-coding RNA from Hydractinia symbiolongicarpus, 822 nucleotides. RefSeq lists it as uncharacterized. The record is from RefSeq and is a predicted model, not a curated record. NCBI's taxonomy places the organism in Eukaryota, Metazoa, Cnidaria, Hydrozoa, Anthoathecata, Hydractiniidae. The transcript is spliced from 2 exons.
AUAAUAUGCGUAGCAAAACAUGAAUCGUGAAGCAUACUUUUAAUCUUAGUUAUAAAUUAAAGUAAAUAAAAUUAACCUGGUUUCUAUUAUCUUUAAAAGAAGUAAAAACGCUUCUCUUUUAAUUUAUACGCUUUUUUUAUACUCUAUAAGAGCAAAAUUUGACAUCAAGUUAAAAAUAUCCUAAAAUAGUGCUUAUCUAGAAAUUUUGCUCGCAUCCUAUAUGGAAUAUAAGCAAAAAACUAUGAAGUUACUUGUGGGACAAAAUCCAUGUUUAGUUUUCAUUGUGUCGUAAUGCUGUUUGUUGUGUGGUUUUACGUUUCGUCGUGGUACCCUUCAUCGCGGCGCAGAUUUCUUUAUGGCGUGUUAUUUUACUUACUCUUCGUCGUGGAGUUUACUCUUCUUCGAAGUAUUUCAUUCUUUGUUGCGUAGUUUAGGUUAUGGUGUAUCAUAAUGGUGUAAAUUUUAUAUGAAAUCACUAUUCGUGCUGGCUGCCUUAUGAAGUUUCAUGAAACGAAGGGAAACUGGAAGAGUCAUAAUCUUUAAAUUGAUUAGUUAGCUUUCAGGUUGCUGUUCACUGUAUAUUGACCUGAGCAGUAUCAGAAACCAGAGCAAAGCAAGAGUAAAUAAUUUAUAUUAUUUAUUGUUUGUGGUAGCUAGCCAGCUAGCUAACUCAAAACGCACGACCCACACUUAUGGGGCUCAUGUGGUGAUAUGAAAUUAGUUCAUGGAAUUAUUUAUUUCAUGUAAAAGAGCAUGAAGUUAAGUACGCCUGUAACGAACACAAUACGAACAAUUAUACGACACGACGAAACGUAAAACCAC